UGCUUGGGAUAUACCCAAGAAGAGAUUUUAAUAUAUCGUUGGGCCCCACACCUAGGUGAUGUGACUCUCCUGCAUGGGCUUUGCCUGCAGGGGUAUGAUGACAUAUCUUUUCUUUCAUCACCCAGGUGAUGCUACUCUCUACUUAUGGCUGGGCCUUGACAAAAAGAGGGAUUGGGACAUAUCCCUGGACGCUGAACCUAAGAGGUGGAGGUUGCCGUGGUGACAGAGUGAGACUUCGCCAAAACAAAACAAAAAAAACAACAACAAAAGGGGGUACUUUCUGCCCACAAAUGAGAUUGUGGCAUCUAACCCUAAGGUGAUGUUACUUCUUUGCUCUGGCUGUGCCCUUAGAAAACACUGAAACAUACUGCUGGGUCCAGCACCAAGAUUAUGUGAGUUUUCUGCCUGAACCCUGACCACAGGAAGCAUUGUAACAUAUCUCUUGACCCAUUGCAAUUUCUCCUAUGGGCAAAGCCCAGG
This 480-nucleotide long non-coding RNA is filed under the name Homo sapiens (human). Its description in RNAcentral is "HSALNT0257398". The record is from RNAcentral. Lineage: Eukaryota; Metazoa; Chordata; Mammalia; Primates; Hominidae.